GACGAACGCUGGCGGCGUGCCUAAUACAUGCAAGUCGUGCGGACCUUUUAAAAGCUUGCUUUUAAAAGGUUAGCGGCGGACGGGUGAGUAACACGUGGGCAACCUGCCUGUAAGACUGGGAUAACGCCGGGAAACCGGGGCUAAUACCAGAUCGUUUUUUCCUCCGCAUGGAGGAAAAAGGAAAGGCGGCUUCGGCUGCCACUUACAGAUGGGCCCGCGGCGCAUUAGCUAGUUGGCGGGGUAACGGCCCACCAAGGCAACGAUGCGUAGCCGACCUGAGAGGGUGAUCGGCCACAUUGGGACUGAGACACGGCCCAAACUCCUACGGGAGGCAGCAGUAGGGAAUCUUCCGCAAUGGACGAAAGUCUGACGGAGCAACGCCGCGUGAGUGAAGAAGGCCUUCGGGUCGUAAAACUCUGCUGCCGGGGAAGAACAAGUGCCGUUCGAACAGGGCGGCGCCUUGACGGUACCCGGCCAGAAAGCCACGGCUAACUACGUG
RNAcentral lists this ribosomal RNA (499 nucleotides) under uncultured bacterium. Its description in RNAcentral is "partial 16S ribosomal RNA". It matches the Rfam family "Bacterial small subunit ribosomal RNA", at positions 28 to 507 of the family's 1533-position model. The record is from RNAcentral.